AGCAGCAGCCGCGGGAAUACGGAGGAUCCAAGCGUUAUCCGGAAUCAUUGGGUUUAAAGGGUCCGUAGGCGGUCUUGUAAGUCAGUGGUGAAAGCCCAUCGCUCAACGGUGGAACGGCCAUUGAUACUGCAGGACUUGAAUUAUUGGGAAGUAACUAGAAUAUGUAGUGUAGCGGUGAAAUGCUUAGAGAUUACAUGGAAUACCAAUUGCGAAGGCAGGUUACUACCAAUUGAUUGACGCUGAUGGACGAAAGCGUGGGUAGCGAACAGGAUUAGAUACCCCCGUAGUCCCUGUCUCUUAUAU
Molecule: ribosomal RNA, 303 nt
Filed under: uncultured bacterium
Lineage: Bacteria
Description: partial 16S ribosomal RNA
Rfam family: Bacterial small subunit ribosomal RNA
Source: RNAcentral